Long non-coding RNA from Oncorhynchus tshawytscha (Chinook salmon), 205 nucleotides. RefSeq lists it as uncharacterized. The transcript is spliced from 3 exons. NCBI's taxonomy places the organism in Eukaryota, Metazoa, Chordata, Actinopteri, Salmoniformes, Salmonidae. The record is from RefSeq and is a predicted model, not a curated record.
UGUAGUUCUGUUCUGCAAUCAUCCCUCCAAGCAAAAGUUGACCAGAAGUGGCACCACAGGUCCCAGAGAGAUGUGGCGGAAAGAAAAUUCCUGGACCUGUAGUUUUUCCUGAUCUAGUAACCAGGAAAAACUCCGGACCUUAUAAGGGAGAGUGUGGCAGAGUCAGGGUUCAGACCUGAGCCAACUCCCCCUGUUUAUCAGGCUC